Paramuricea clavata is the source of this 391-nucleotide non-coding RNA. NCBI's taxonomy places the organism in Eukaryota, Metazoa, Cnidaria, Anthozoa, Malacalcyonacea, Plexauridae. The record is from the annotation of a GenBank genome assembly.
CCUUAACUGUAUGUUCCCCUUUUAUCAAAAUUCCAAUAAAUUUUGAUUAUUUUAAGCUUUUCGAAGCUCCACUCGCUGACUCGCAUUCAUUCGCAUUUCAUUGACGUGAGCAAAAUUAUUGACGUGAGGAAAAUGUUCAGCCGAUUUUUCAAGCGACCAAUCAGAAUUUGCUUGCGUUAGGAGAAAUUGAAAUUUCAUCAUUACGAAAGAACUUGUGCCUUAAAGAGAAGCUAUCACCCCCCUGAAAACAUCCUGAAAUUUAAUGUUCCAGGGGGUAAAUGCCUCUCUUUAGGGUACUUGCUAAGAACAUGGCCACCAGAUACAGUAUGUGCGGUAAAAACUACUUUAUGGUUUUUACGGUUUUUUUGCGCCACUGUUUACAGCGGGAUGA